RNAcentral lists this ribosomal RNA (205 nucleotides) under uncultured bacterium. RNAcentral's name for it is "partial 16S ribosomal RNA". It matches the Rfam family "Bacterial small subunit ribosomal RNA", at positions 568 to 774 of the family's 1533-position model. The record is from RNAcentral.
CGCGUAGGCGGACAUUUAAGUCAGGGUGAAAUCCGGGCUCAACCCCGGAACUGCCCUUGAUACUGGGUGUCUUGAGUUCGAGAGAGGUGAGUGGAAUUCCGAGUGUAGAGGUGAAAUUCGUAGAUAUUCGGAGGAACACCAGUGGCGAAAGGCGGCUCACUGGCUCGAUACUGACGCUGAGGUGCGAAAGUGUGGGGAGCAAACA